AACGCACAUUGCGCCUAUUAGUAUUCUAGUAGGCAUGCCUGUUCGAGCGUCAUUACACCACUCAGGCUUCAUUGCUUGGAGUUGGGACGUUACCGCCCCGGCGGUAAGUCCUCAAAUCUAGUGGCGAGGUCGGAUGUCCUCUAAGCGUAGUAAUCUUUUUUCCUCGCUUUGGUCAGGCUUCCGGCUGCAGCCAGAAACCCACUAUAUUUUCUAAUGGUUGACCUCGGAUCAGGUAGGAAUACCCGCUGAACUUAA
RNAcentral lists this unclassified non-coding RNA (255 nucleotides) under uncultured fungus. Its description in RNAcentral is "partial contains 5.8S ribosomal RNA, internal transcribed spacer 2, and large subunit ribosomal RNA". The record is from RNAcentral. Lineage: Eukaryota; Fungi.